GUGAAUUCCCUCGGUAUGAUAAUUUGUUCAUCAGUUUGUUCCCCGUUUCUUCUCUAGCCUGAGCCUGACACACUAUUCUAGCUAGACAUGGGUGUGGCUCGUAACACCUGAUGACCAAACGGAUCUACGACACCAUCGAAUCUCAAACUUUAACUACCAAAACUAUUGUUUUUCAUCCUCUAGUCCCUUUUAGAAUUACUAAACGUCCUUUUUUGGGCCGAGAUUUCCAGGAACGCUUUCUCGGGGUUUGUGUGCAUGUAUUUCAAACCAUACAGACCUAAAAAUUAGAAGUCAUUCCAUCUUUAUUCCCGUAGAGCCUUCCAGCAGUUCCUAAACCGCUCCAGUCGGAGCAUGUUAUCAUUCUUGUUUGUUCUGAGUGAAUUCCCUCGGUAUGAUAAUUCUAUCAUCAGUUUGUUCCCCGUUUCUUCUCUAGCCUGAGCCUGGCAAACUAUUCUAGCUAGACAUGGGUGUGGCUCGUAACACCUGAUGACCAAACGGAUCUACGACACCAUCGAAUCUCAAACUUUAACUACCAAAACUAUUGUUUUUCAUUCUAUAGUCCCUUCUAGAAUUUCUAAACGUCCUUUUUUGGGCCGAGAUUUCCAGGAAUGCUUUCUCGGGGUUUGUGUGCAAGUAUUUCAAAUCAUACGGACCUAAAAAUUAGAAGUCAUUCCAUCUUUAUUCCCCUAGAGCCUUCCAGUAGUUCCUAAACCGCUCCAGUCGGAGCACGUUAUCAUUCUUGUUAGUUCAUAGUGAAUUCCCUCGGUAUGAUAAUUCUUUCAUCAGUUUGUUCCCCGUUUCUUCUCUAGCCUGAGCCUGGCACAGUAUUCUAGCUAGACAUGGGUGUGGUCGUAACACCUGAUGACUAAAUGGAUCGACGGCACCAUCGAAUCUCAAACUUUAACUGCCAAAACUAUUGUUUUUCAUCCUGUAAUCCCAUUUAGAAUUACUAAACGUCCUUUUUUGGGCCGAGAUUUAGAGGAACGCUUUGUUGGGGUUUGUGUGCAAGUAUUUCAAACCAUACGGACCUAAAAAUUAGAACUCAUUCCAUAUUUAUUCCCCUUGAGCCUUCCAGCAGUUCCUAAACCGCUCUAGUCGGAGCACGUUAUCAUUCUUGUUAGUUCUAAGAGAAUUCCCUCGGUAUGAUAAUUCUUUUAUCAGUUUGUUCCCCGUUUCUUCUCUAGACUGGGCCCGACACACUAUUCUAGCUAGACAUGGGUGUGGCUCGUAACACCUGAUGACCAAACGGAUCUACGGCACCAUCGAAUCUCAAACUUCAACUGCCAAAACUAUUGUUUUUCAUCCUGUAGUCCCUUUUAGAAUUACUAAACGUCCUUUUUUGGGCCGAGAUUUCCAGGAACGCUUUCUCGGGGUUUGUGUGCAAGUAUUUCAAACCAUACGGACCUAAAAAUUAGAAGUCAUUCCAUCUUUAUUCCCGUAGAGCCAUCCAGCAGUUCCUAAACCGCUCCAGUCGGAGCACGUUAUCAUUCUUGUUAGUUCUGAGUGAAUUCCCUCGGUAUGAUAAUUCUUUCAUCAGUUUGUUCCCCGUUUCUUCUCUAGCCUGAGCCUGACAAACUAUUAUAGCUAGACAUGGGUGUGGCUCGUAACACCUGAUGACCAAACGGAUCUAUGGCACCAUCGAAUCUCAAACUUUAACUGCCAAAACUAUUGUUUUUCAUCCUGUAGUCCCUUUUAGAAUUACUAAACGCCCUUCUUUGGGACGAGAUUUCCAGGAACGCUUUCUCGGGGUUUGUGUGAAAGUAAUUCAAACCAUACGGACCUAAAAAUUAGAAGUCAUUCCAUCUUUAUUCCCGUGGAGCCUUCCAGUAGUUCCUAAACCGCUCCAGUCGGAGCACGUUAUCAUUCUUGUUAGUUCUGAGUGAAUUCCCUCGGUAUGAUAAUUCUUUCAUCAGUUUGUUCCCUGUUUCUUCUCUAGCCUGAGCCUGGCACACUAUUCUAGCUAGACAUGGGUGUGGCUCGUAACACCUGAUGACUAAACUGAUCAAUGACACCAUCGAAUCUCAAACUUUAACUGCCAAAACUAUUGUUUUUCAUCCUGUAGUCCCAUUUAGAAUUACUAAACGUCCUUUUUUGGGCCGAGAUUUCCAGGAACGCUUACUCGGGGUUUGUGUGCAAGUAUUUCAAACCAUACUGACCUAAAAAUUAGAAGUCAAUCCAUCUUUAUUCCCCUAGAGCCUUCCAGCAGUUCCUAAACCGCUCCAGUCGGAGCACGUUAUCAUUCUUGUUAGUUCUGAGUGAAUUCCCUCGGUAUGAUAAUUCUUUCAUCAGUUUGUUCCUUGUUUCUUCUCUAGCCUGAACCUGACACACUAUUCUAGCUAGACAUGGGUGUGGCUCGUAACACCUGAUGACCAAACGGAUCUACGGCACCAUCGAAUCUCAAACUUUAACUGCCAAAACUAUUAUUUUUAAUCCUCUAGUCCCAUUUAGAAUUACUAAACGUCCUUUUUUGGGCCGAGAUUUAGAGGAACGCUUUCAUGCGGUUUGUGUGCAAGUAUUUCAAACCAUACGGACCUAAAAAUUAGAAGUCAUUCCAUCUUUAUUCCCCUAGAGCCUUCCAGCAGUUCCUAAACCGCUCCAGUCGGAGCAUGUUAUCAUUCUUGUUAGUUCUGAGUGAAUUCCCUCGGUAUGAUAAUUCUUUCAUCAGUUUGUGGCCCGUUUCUUCUCUAGCCUGAGCCUGACACACUAUUCUAGCUAGACGUGGGUGUGGCUCGUAACACCUGAUGACCAAACGGAUCUACGGCACCAUCGAAUCUCAAACUUUAAGUGCCAAAACUAUUAUUUUUAAUCCUGUAGUCCCAUUUAGAAUUAC
Molecule: long non-coding RNA, 2830 nt
Filed under: Triticum aestivum (bread wheat)
Lineage: Eukaryota; Viridiplantae; Streptophyta; Magnoliopsida; Poales; Poaceae
Description: long non-coding RNA (TAES_LNC028121)
Source: RNAcentral